CGGACAUAUCAUACUGAAACAUCAGUACCCGUACGUUCAUUGAAGUUAAGCAAUGCCAAGCCUGGUCAGUACUUACGUGGGUGACCGUUUGGGAAUACCAGGUGU
Molecule: non-coding RNA, 105 nt
Organism: Acanthosepion pharaonis
Lineage: Eukaryota; Metazoa; Mollusca; Cephalopoda; Sepiida; Sepiidae
Source: the annotation of a GenBank genome assembly